RNAcentral lists this ribosomal RNA (262 nucleotides) under uncultured archaeon. Its description in RNAcentral is "partial 16S ribosomal RNA". It matches the Rfam family "Archaeal small subunit ribosomal RNA", at positions 748 to 1008 of the family's 1478-position model. The record is from RNAcentral.
CAGCCGUAAACAAUGUGCGUUAGGUGUGUCGGUAACCACGCGUUACUGAUGCGCCGAAGAGAAAUCGUGAAACGCACCACCUGGGAAGUACGGUCGCAAGGCUGAAACUUAAAGGAAUUGGCGGGGGGAGCACCACAACAGGUGGAGCCUGAGGUUUAAUUGGAUUCAACGCCGGACAUCUCACCGGAUAAGACAGCUGAAUGAUUGUCAAUCUGAAGGUUUUACAUGACUAGCUGAGAGGUGGUGCAUGGCGUCAGUGACU